RNAcentral lists this ribosomal RNA (465 nucleotides) under uncultured bacterium. RNAcentral describes it as "partial 16S ribosomal RNA". It matches the Rfam family "Bacterial small subunit ribosomal RNA", at positions 28 to 507 of the family's 1533-position model. The record is from RNAcentral.
GACGAACGCUGGCGGCGUGCUUAACACAUGCAAGUCGAACGGAAAGGCCCCCUUGUGGGGUACUCGAGUGGCGAACGGGUGAGUAACACGUGAGUAACCUACCCUUGACUUUGGGAUAACUUCAGGAAACUGGGGCUAAUACCGGAUAGGAGCUCCUGCUGCAUGGUGGGGGUUGGAAAGUUUCGGCGGUUGGGGAUGGACUCGCGGCUUAUCAGCUUGUUGGUGGGGUAGUGGCUCACCAAGGCUUUGACGGGUAGCCGGCCUGAGAGGGUGACCGGCCACAUUGGGACUGAGAUACGGCCCAGACUCCUACGGGAGGCAGCAGUGGGGAAUAUUGCACAAUGGGCGGAAGCCUGAUGCAGCAACGCCGCGUGCGGGAUGACGGCCUUCGGGCUGUAAACCGCUUUCGCCUGUGACGAAGCGUGAGUGACGGUAAUGGGUAAAGAAGCACCGGCUAACUACGUG